GAUGAACGCUGGCGGCGUGCUUAACACAUGCAAGUCGAACGAAACACUUUAUUUGUUUUCUUUCGGGACUGAGUAUUUUGUGACUGAGUGGCGGACGGGUGAGUAACGCGUGGGUAACCUGCCUUGUACAGGGGGAUAACAGUUGGAAACGGCUGCUAAUACUGCAUAAGCGCACGGCAUCGCAUGAUGCUGUGUGAAAAGCUCCGGUGGUAUAAGAUGGACCCGCGUUGGAUUAGCUAGUGGGUGAGGUAACGGCACACCAAGGCGAGGAUCCAUAGCCGAAGGGAGAGGGGGACCGGCCAGAUUGGGACUGAGACACGGCCCAAACGCGUACGAGAGGCAGCAGAGGGUAAUAUAGCAGAAUGGGCGAAAGCCUGAUGCAGCGACGCCGCGUGAGCGGAGAAGUAUUUCGGUAUGUAAAGCGCUAUCAGCAGAGAAGAUAAUGACGGUACCUGACGAAGAAGCACCGGCUAAAUACGUG
Molecule: ribosomal RNA, 481 nt
Filed under: uncultured bacterium
Lineage: Bacteria
Description: partial 16S ribosomal RNA
Rfam family: Bacterial small subunit ribosomal RNA
Source: RNAcentral